GGGCAAGUGACGCAGUGGUAGCGUGUUCGCUUUGCAUGCGAGAAGUCCAGGGUUCAAUCCCCUGCUUGUCCA
Peniophora sp. CONT is the source of this 72-nucleotide non-coding RNA. Lineage: Eukaryota; Fungi; Basidiomycota; Agaricomycetes; Russulales; Peniophoraceae. The record is from Rfam.